Molecule: small nuclear RNA, 107 nt
Filed under: Microcebus murinus (gray mouse lemur)
Lineage: Eukaryota; Metazoa; Chordata; Mammalia; Primates; Cheirogaleidae
Source: RNAcentral
AUGCUCACUUCAGCAGCGCAUAUACUAAAAUUUAAACCACGCAGGGAAGAUUAGCAUGGCCCCUAUGCAAGGAUGACGUACAGAUUCUUCAUGUAUACCUCUGUUUU